GAUGAACGCUGGCGGCGUGCCUAAUACAUGCAAGUCGAGCGAACAGACGAGGAGCUUGCUCCUCUGACGUUAGCGGCGGACGGGUGAGUAACACGUGGAUAACCUACCUAUAAGACUGGGAUAACUUCGGGAAACCGGAGCUAAUACCGGAUAAUAUAUUGAACCGCAUGGUUCAAUAGUGAAAGACGGUUUUGCUGUCACUUAUAGAUGGAUCCGCGCCGCAUUAGCUAGUUGGUAAGGUAACGGCUUACCAAGGCAACGAUGCGUAGCCGACCUGAGAGGGUGAUCGCCCACACGGGAACUGAGAACCGUUCCCAACCCCUACGGGAGGCAGCAGUAGGGAAUUUUCCGCAAUGGGCGAAAGCCUGGCGGAGCAACCCCGCGGGAGUGAUGAAGGUCUUCGGAUCGUAAAACUUUUUUAUUAGGGAAGAAAAAAUGUGUAAGUAACUAUCCACGUCUUGACGGUACCUAAUCAGAAAGCCACGGCUAACUACGU
This 496-nucleotide ribosomal RNA is filed under the name uncultured bacterium. RNAcentral describes it as "partial 16S ribosomal RNA". It matches the Rfam family "Bacterial small subunit ribosomal RNA", at positions 28 to 506 of the family's 1533-position model. The record is from RNAcentral.